This 83-nucleotide transfer RNA is filed under the name Canis lupus familiaris (dog). It matches the Rfam family "tRNA". From Rfam's summary of the family: Transfer RNA (tRNA) molecules are approximately 80 nucleotides in length. Their secondary structure includes four short double-helical elements and three loops (D, anti-codon, and T loops). Further hydrogen bonds mediate the characteristic L-shaped molecular structure. tRNAs have two regions of fundamental functional importance: the anti-codon, which is responsible for specific mRNA codon recognition, and the 3' end, to which the tRNAs corresponding amino acid is attached (by aminoacyl-tRNA synthetases). tRNAs cope with the degeneracy of the genetic code in two manners: having more than one tRNA (with a specific anti-codon) for a particular amino acid; and 'wobble' base-pairing, i.e. permitting non-standard base-pairing at the 3rd anti-codon position. The record is from Rfam by way of RNAcentral. Lineage: Eukaryota; Metazoa; Chordata; Mammalia; Carnivora; Canidae. RNAcentral also lists the same sequence under 1 other name.
GCCUGAGUGGCUUAGCGGUUGAGCGCCUGCCUUCAGGCCAGGGCGUGAUUCUGGGGUCGUGGGAUAGAGUCCCACAUCGGGCU